Molecule: long non-coding RNA, 292 nt
Organism: Arabidopsis lyrata subsp. lyrata
Lineage: Eukaryota; Viridiplantae; Streptophyta; Magnoliopsida; Brassicales; Brassicaceae
Exons: 2
Source: RefSeq, a predicted model, not a curated record
GAAAUGUCUGCCCAGUUUCCUUCUCCAUGAGUCUCAACACAGCUUUUUAAUAUCAUGUCUUCUUCAGGUUGCCACAAACCUCUCUUCACGCAAAAACUUUGAGGUCUUCCAACUUUAACUCUUACAUGUGGGGACUAUCUACUAAAAUUAUUGAAGAGAAAAAGAGAACAGUGGUUUGCACUUUUCCGACAGUAACACUACUGUAAAUUCGUGCAAACUAGAGCUGUAAAAGCUCUCUAUUCCCUUGUUUUUAUCCUCAACAUUGUCACAAAUUAUUGGCUUUUAAGGCAAA